Molecule: long non-coding RNA, 367 nt
Filed under: Brachypodium distachyon (stiff brome)
Lineage: Eukaryota; Viridiplantae; Streptophyta; Magnoliopsida; Poales; Poaceae
Description: long non-coding RNA (BDIS_LNC000896)
Source: RNAcentral
AAGAAAAGAUGCAAAGGCUCGAAAUUGUUUGUAGGACAAGAUCUAACCCUAAUUUUUUUUUUGGCUUUUUCGUGGACUAUAGGAAUAAAUCAGAUGCAACUAAUCUAGGAAAACAGUAAGAUCUCACCGAGAAACCUGAAAUCUGAUACCACUUGAUAGGGGUAAAGGUGCCCGAUCUUUCGAUGAGAAGAUAGCUAUCGAUUUUUGGGUGGAUGUCGACGUUGACGAACCGGCUACAAACGUGCGAGACGUUGCGCCUCAACGAUCGCUACACCAACUUCCGAGGUUAUUGACCACGCCGGAGCUAGAUCAACCUGAUCACGAAGGAUCAAUCCCUGCAUGCAACCGAAGAGCAAGCAAGAAUUAU